RNAcentral lists this ribosomal RNA (596 nucleotides) under Enterobacteriaceae bacterium AaD51a. RNAcentral's name for it is "bacterial SSU rRNA". It matches the Rfam family "Bacterial small subunit ribosomal RNA", at positions 63 to 647 of the family's 1533-position model. The record is from RNAcentral. Lineage: Bacteria; Pseudomonadati; Pseudomonadota; Gammaproteobacteria; Enterobacterales; Enterobacteriaceae.
CGAGCGGCAGCGGGAGGAAGCUUGCUUCCUCGCCGGCGAGCGGCGGACGGGUGAGUAAUGUCUGGGAAACUGCCCGAUGGAGGGGGAUAACUACUGGAAACGGUAGCUAAUACCGCAUAACGUCUACGGACCAAAGUGGGGGACCUUCGGGCCUCACACCAUCGGAUGUGCCCAGAUGGGAUUAGCUGGUAGGUGGGGUAAUGGCUCACCUAGGCGACGAUCCCUAGCUGGUCUGAGAGGAUGACCAGCCACACUGGAACUGAGACACGGUCCAGACUCCUACGGGAGGCAGCAGAUGGGGAAUAUUGCACAAUGGGCGCAAGCCUGAUGCAGCCAUGCCGCGUGUGUGAAGAAGGCCUUCGGGUUGUAAAGCACUUUCAGCGAGGAGGAAGGCGUUGUAGUUAAUAACUGCAACGAUUGACGUUACUCGCAGAAGAAGCACCGGCUAACUCCGUGCCAGCAGCCGCGGUAAUACGGAGGGUGCAAGCGUUAAUCGGAAUUACUGGGCGUAAAGCGCACGCAGGCGGUCUGUUAAGUUAGAUGUGAAAUGCCCGGGGUUAACCUGGGAACGGUAUUUGAAACGGGCGGGCUAAAGU